UUAGUAAAUUCUAGAGGUUUGGAUAUAUUUGAAGAAAUUUUAAAAAAAUAAUAAAGAUAUUUUGGUCAACUAAGGUAUAUUAGAUAUUUUUAUGUUUUGAAGUGUAUAUUAAUUAUUACGAAAAAUUUCGAAUACCUCCCCCGUUAUUUUUCACUUUCUCACUUUCUCACUUUAAUACCCUGUGAUUUAAAGUGUAUCAAUUUAGUAUUCUGUAGUUUCAUUUUUCUUUUUUUUAUUAUCCAUUUCACUAAUUUUUUUCGUUAAAUCAGUGACAAAGUUAAAACUAAAGGGUACUAAUAUGAAUAUGCGAAACCUCCGUGGGAUAUCUGAAGUUUUUUGUAUAUAAUCUAACGAAAUAUUAACGGAGGAGCUGACGAAAAGAGAAAAAUGAAAUCACGUGAUAUUAAUUUGAUACACUUUAAAUUAUAGGGUAAUAAAGUGAAAAAGUACAAAACCACAGGAGCGGUAUUUGAAGUUUACCCUAAUACAAGCCCUAU
RNAcentral lists this long non-coding RNA (497 nucleotides) under Ananas comosus (pineapple). RNAcentral's name for it is "long non-coding RNA (ACOM_LNC037664)". The record is from RNAcentral. Lineage: Eukaryota; Viridiplantae; Streptophyta; Magnoliopsida; Poales; Bromeliaceae.